RNAcentral lists this small nucleolar RNA (67 nucleotides) under Triticum dicoccoides. Its description in RNAcentral is "snoRNA snoZ105". It matches the Rfam family "Small nucleolar RNA Z105". Rfam says of the family: This family consists of several snoRNA Z105 sequences which are members of the C/D class of snoRNA which contain the C (UGAUGA) and D (CUGA) box motifs. This family seems to be found exclusively in plants. C/D box small nucleolar RNAs are known to act as a methylation guides for 18S ribosomal RNA. Lineage: Eukaryota; Viridiplantae; Streptophyta; Magnoliopsida; Poales; Poaceae. The record is from RNAcentral.
CUGGCAUGAUGAUGAAGACAAUUGUUGUCUGAUAUAUUUGAUGAUUAAAUCCUCCUACUCAUUCUGA